CCUACGGGAGGCAGCAGUGAGGAAUAUUGGUCAAUGGACGCAAGUCUGAACCAGCCAUGCCGCGUGCAGGAAGACGGCUCUAUGAGUUGUAAACUGCUUUUGUACGAGGGUAAACGCAGAUACGCGUAUCUGUCUGAAAGUAUCGUACGAAUAAGGAUCGGCUAACUCCGUGCCAGCAGCCGCGGUAAUACGGAGGAUUCAAGCGUUAUCCGGAUUUAUUGGGUUUAAAGGGUGCGUAGGCGGUCGGAUAAGUUAGAGGUGAAAUCCCGAGGCUCAACUUCGGAAUUGCCACUGAUACUGUCCGGCUAGAGAGCAGUUGCGGUAGGCGGAAUGUAUGGUGUAGCGGUGAAAUGCUUAGAGAUCAUACAGAACACCGAUUGCGAAGGCAGCUUACCAAGCUACUUCUGACGUUGAGGCACGAAAGCGUGGGGAGCAAACAGGAUUAGAUACCCCGGUAGUC
Molecule: ribosomal RNA, 460 nt
Filed under: uncultured bacterium
Lineage: Bacteria
Description: partial 16S ribosomal RNA
Rfam family: Bacterial small subunit ribosomal RNA
Source: RNAcentral